This 465-nucleotide ribosomal RNA is filed under the name uncultured bacterium. RNAcentral's name for it is "partial 16S ribosomal RNA". It matches the Rfam family "Bacterial small subunit ribosomal RNA", at positions 338 to 795 of the family's 1533-position model. The record is from RNAcentral.
CCUACGGGAGGCAGCAGUGGGGAAUAUUGCGCAAUGGGCGAAAGCCUGACGCAGCGACGCCGCGUGAGGGAUGACGGUCUUCGGAUCGUAAACCUCUGUCAGCAGGGAAGAACGGUCACUGUGCUAUUCAGCAGUGAAUUGACGGUACCUGCAAAGGAAGCACCGGCUAACUCCGUGCCAGCAGCCGCGGGAAUACGGAGGGGGCGAGCGUUAAUCGGAAUUACUGGGCGUAAGGCGCUCGUAGGCGGGAUGUCAAGUCAAGGGUGAAAGCCCCGCGCUCAACGUGGGAACUGCCUUUGAAACUGGCAAACUGGAGUGGAUGAGAGGAGAGUGGAAUUCCAGGUGUAGGAGUGAAAUCCGUAGAUAUCUGGAGGAACAUCAGUGGCGAAGGCGACUAUCUGGCACAUAACUGACGCUGAGGAGCGAAAGCGUGGGUAGCAAACAGGAUUAGAUACCCCUGUAGUC